CAGCCGCCGCGGUAAUACCGGCGGCCCGAGUGGCGGUCACUAUUAUUUGGCUUAAAGCGUCCGUAGCCGGGUUGGGAAGUCCUCCGGGAAAUCUGGCCGCUUAACGGUCAGAAUGCCGGAGGAUACUCCCAGCCUAGGGAGCGGGAGAGGCCGAGGGUAUUCCCGGAGUAGGGGGGAAAUCCUAUAAUCCCGGGAGGACCACCUGUGGCGAAGGCGCUCGGCUGGAACGCGUCCGACGGUGAGGGACGAAGGCCAGGGGAGCAAACCGGAUUAGAUACCCGGGUAGUCCUGGCUGUAAACGAUGCGGACUUUGUGUCGGACAAGCUAUGAGCUUGUCCGGUGCCGGAGGGAAACCGUUAAGUCCGCCGCCUGGGGAGUACGGCCGCAAGGCUGAAACUUAAAGGAAUUGGCGGG
This 414-nucleotide ribosomal RNA is filed under the name uncultured microorganism. Its description in RNAcentral is "bacterial SSU rRNA". It matches the Rfam family "Archaeal small subunit ribosomal RNA", at positions 459 to 872 of the family's 1478-position model. The record is from RNAcentral.